Molecule: ribosomal RNA, 497 nt
Filed under: uncultured bacterium
Lineage: Bacteria
Description: partial 16S ribosomal RNA
Rfam family: Bacterial small subunit ribosomal RNA
Source: RNAcentral
GAUGAACGCUGGCGGCGUGCCUAAUACAUGCAAGUCGAGCGAACAGACGAGGAGUUUGCUCCUCUGACGUUAGCGGCGGACGGGUGAGUAACACGUGGAUAACCCACCUAUAAGACUGGGAUAACCUCGGGAAACCGGAGAUAAUACCGGAUAAUAUAUUGAACCGCAUGGUUCAAUAGUGAAAGACGGUUUUGCUGUCACUUAUAGAUGGAUUCGCGCCGUAUUAGCUAGUUGGUAAGGUAACGGCUUACCAAGGCAACGAUGCGUAGCCGACGUGAGAGGGUGAUCGGCCACACUGGAAGGUGAACGCGGACCAGAGUCCUGCGGGAGGCAGCAGACUGGUAUCGGCCGCAGUGGGCGGAAGCCUUGCGGAGCAGCGCCGCGUGUGUGAUGAAGAUCUCCGGUGCGUGAAACUCUGUUAUGAGGGAUGAACAAUUUUUUGCGGAACAGUAGACAUCUUGACGGUACCUGAACAGAAAGCCACGGCUAACUACGUG